CUCCCUGCGGCCUUCCGGCUGAGCGGGAUCACGUCUCGGCCAAGCGCAGCAGCGGGCCUGAAGUGGUGGGGACGCUGCGCAGCAGCUCGGCGCCCAGCAGGUCCAGCAGGACGUAACGCAGCCCCAGGGAAGGCCUCGCCCUGCGCUGCCCCAACUCCGCCUGCAGCACUUCCCGGUGCCGCGAGCGCCGCACCGCGGCCAGCAGCUGCUUCCGGCCGCGAAGGAGGGCUCGGAUGAAGCGGCCGGCGCCCGGCAGAGCCAACCACCAACUGCCGGCGUCGCGCACCGUCAGCACGCCCGCUGCCACCAGCUGCGUGACGUCGCUGUCCCGGAGCCCCAUCUCUUCCAGCUGCCCCCUCUCGAAGCUGAGCAGCGGCCGCACCCCAUCCAGGAAGCGCCGCACCAACGGGGCGUGGGGGGACCCCUCCACGGCCCGCAGCACCGUCUCCCGGUACUCCUCGGCUCCCACCACGGCCACGGUGUCGGGGCCCAACCCGAGGUGCAACAACCGGACGCGGCCGUCGGCCUGCAGGCGGUUCUACCGGAGGC
RNAcentral lists this long non-coding RNA (549 nucleotides) under Gallus gallus (chicken). Lineage: Eukaryota; Metazoa; Chordata; Aves; Galliformes; Phasianidae. The record is from RNAcentral.